AGCGUACACGGUGGAUGCCCUGGCAGUCAGAGGCGAUGAAGGACGUGCUAAUCUGCGAUAAGCGUCGGUAAGGUGAUAUGAACCGUUAUAACCGGCGAUUUCCGAAUGGGGAAACCCAGUGUGUUUCGACACACUAUCAUUAACUGAAUCCAUAGGUUAAUGAGGCGAACCGGGGGAACUGAAACAUCUAAGUACCCCGAGGAAAAGAAAUCAACCGAGAUUCCCCCAGUAGCGGCGAGCGAACGGGGAGCAGCCCAGAGCCUGAAUCAGUGUGUGUGUUAGUGGAAGCGUCUGGAAAGGCGCGCGAUACAGGGUGACAGCCCCGUACACAAAAAUGCACAUGCUGUGAGCUCGAUGAGUAGGGCGGGACACGUGGUAUCCUGUCUGAAUAUGGGGGGACCAUCCUCCAAGGCUAAAUACUCCUGACUGACCGAUAGUGAACCAGUACCGUGAGGGAAAGGCGAAAAGAACCCCGGCGAGGGGAGUGAAAAAGAACCUGAAACCGUGUACGUACAAGCAGUGGGAGCACGCUUCGGCGUGUGACUGCGUACCUUUUGUAUAAUGGGUCAGCGACUUAUAUUCUGUAGCAAGGUUAACCGAAUAGGGGAGCCGAAGGGAAACCGAGUCUUAACUGGGCGUUAAGUUGCAGGGUAUAGACCCGAAACCCGGUGAUCUAGCCAUGGGCAGGUUGAAGGUUGGGUAACACUAACUGGAGGACCGAACCGACUAAUGUUGAAAAAUUAGCGGAUGACUUGUGGCUGGGGGUGAAAGGCCAAUCAAACCGGGAGAUAGCUGGUUCUCCCCGAAAGCUAUUUAGGUAGCGCCUCGUGAAUUCAUCUCCGGGGGUAGAGCACUGUUUCGGCAAGGGGGUCAUCCCGACUUACCAACCCGAUGCAAACUGCGAAUACCGGAGAAUGUUAUCACGGGAGACACACGGCGGGUGCUAACGUCCGUCGUGAAGAGGGAAACAACCCAGACCGCCAGCUAAGGUCCCAAAGUCAUGGUUAAGUGGGAAACGAUGUGGGAAGGCCCAGACAGCCAGGAUGUUGGCUUAGAAGCAGCCAUCAUUUAAAGAAAGCGUAAUAGCUCACUGGUCGAGUCGGCCUGCGCGGAAGAUGUAACGGGGCUAAACCAUGCACCGAAGCUGCGGCAGCGACGCUGAUGCGUUGUUGGGUAGGGGAGCGUUCUGUAAGCCUGCGAAGGUGUGCUGUGAGGCAUGCUGGAGGUAUCAGAAGUGCGAAUGCUGACAUAAGUAACGAUAAAGCGGGUGAAAAGCCCGCUCGCCGGAAGACCAAGGGUUCCUGUCCAACGUUAAUCGGGGCAGGGUGAGUCGACCCCUAAGGCGAGGCCGAAAGGCGUAGUCGAUGGGAAACAGGUUAAUAUUCCUGUACUUGGUGUUACUGCGAAGGGGGGACGGAGAAGGCUAUGUUGGCCGGGCGACGGUUGUCCCGGUUUAAGCGUGUAGGCUGGUUUUCCAGGCAAAUCCGGAAAAUCAAGGCUGAGGCGUGAUGACGAGGCACUACGGUGCUGAAGCAACAAAUGCCCUGCUUCCAGGAAAAGCCUCUAAGCAUCAGGUAACAUCAAAUCGUACCCCAAACCGACACAGGUGGUCAGGUAGAGAAUACCAAGGCGCUUGAGAGAACUCGGGUGAAGGAACUAGGCAAAAUGGUGCCGUAACUUCGGGAGAAGGCACGCUGAUAUGUAGGUGAAGUCCCUCGCGGAUGGAGCUGAAAUCAGUCGAAGAUACCAGCUGGCUGCAACUGUUUAUUAAAAACACAGCACUGUGCAAACACGAAAGUGGACGUAUACGGUGUGACGCCUGCCCGGUGCCGGAAGGUUAAUUGAUGGGGUCAGCGCAAGCGAAGCUCUUGAUCGAAGCCCCGGUAAACGGCGGCCGUAACUAUAACGGUCCUAAGGUAGCGAAAUUCCUUGUCGGGUAAGUUCCGACCUGCACGAAUGGCGUAAUGAUGGCCAGGCUGUCUCCACCCGAGACUCAGUGAAAUUGAACUCGCUGUGAAGAUGCAGUGUACCCGCGGCAAGACGGAAAGACCCCGUGAACCUUUACUAUAGCUUGACACUGAACAUUGAGCCUUGAUGUGUAGGAUAGGUGGGAGGCUUAGAAGUGUGGACGCCAGUCUGCAUGGAGCCGACCUUGAAAUACCACCCUUUAAUGUUUGAUGUUCUAACGUUGACCCGUAAUCCGGGUUGCGGACAGUGUCUGGUGGGUAGUUUGACUGGGGCGGUCUCCUCCUAAAGAGUAACGGAGGAGCACGAAGGUUGGCUAAUCCUGGUCGGACAUCAGGAGGUUAGUGCAAUGGCAUAAGCCAGCUUGACUGCGAGCGUGACGGCGCGAGCAGGUGCGAAAGCAGGUCAUAGUGAUCCGGUGGUUCUGAAUGGAAGGGCCAUCGCUCAACGGAUAAAAGGUACUCCGGGGAUAACAGGCUGAUACCGCCCAAGAGUUCAUAUCGACGGCGGUGUUUGGCACCUCGAUGUCGGCUCAUCACAUCCUGGGGCUGAAGUAGGUCCCAAGGGUAUGGCUGUUCGCCAUUUAAAGUGGUACGCGAGCUGGGUUUAGAACGUCGUGAGACAGUUCGGUCCCUAUCUGCCGUGGGCGCUGGAGAACUGAGGGGGGCUGCUCCUAGUACGAGAGGACCGGAGUGGACGCAUCACUGGUGUUCGGGUUGUCAUGCCAAUGGCACUGCCCGGUAGCUAAAUGCGGAAGAGAUAAGUGCUGAAAGCAUCUAAGCACGAAACUUGCCCCGAGAUGAGUUCU
This 2773-nucleotide ribosomal RNA is filed under the name Escherichia coli. RNAcentral's name for it is "bacterial LSU rRNA". It matches the Rfam family "Bacterial large subunit ribosomal RNA". The record is from RNAcentral. Lineage: Bacteria; Pseudomonadati; Pseudomonadota; Gammaproteobacteria; Enterobacterales; Enterobacteriaceae.